CAUUCACGGAGAGUUUGAUCCUGGCUCAGGACGAACGCUGGCGGCGUGCUUAACACAUGCAAGUCGAACGAUGAACCGCUU
RNAcentral lists this ribosomal RNA (81 nucleotides) under Streptomyces albidoflavus. RNAcentral describes it as "partial 16S ribosomal RNA". It matches the Rfam family "Bacterial small subunit ribosomal RNA", at positions 1 to 79 of the family's 1533-position model. Lineage: Bacteria; Bacillati; Actinomycetota; Actinomycetes; Kitasatosporales; Streptomycetaceae. The record is from RNAcentral.